AUCCUUGGCUCGUGCUCAUGACAACUGGGUGUUCAUGUGGUUUGUGUGAGAUAUGCCUCCCUCAGGCCUAUGGCAAGGCUGGCACAUACUCAUCUGACU
Molecule: small nucleolar RNA, 99 nt
Organism: Octodon degus (degu)
Lineage: Eukaryota; Metazoa; Chordata; Mammalia; Rodentia; Octodontidae
Product: small nucleolar RNA U13
Exons: 1
Source: RefSeq, a predicted model, not a curated record